Diorhabda carinulata is the source of this 1110-nucleotide long non-coding RNA. RefSeq lists it as uncharacterized. The record is from RefSeq and is a predicted model, not a curated record. NCBI's taxonomy places the organism in Eukaryota, Metazoa, Arthropoda, Insecta, Coleoptera, Chrysomelidae. The transcript has 2 exons.
AGGUAGAACAGCAACCAAUGAAUUAAAUGACGUAGUUAAUGAAAAUCCUUAUUUAAACUGUGAUGAAAAAUAAAUUGUUCAAUCACUAAUACCUGUCACAAAAGUGACUGCAAAUUAUGCCCUGACAGAUGCUCGCUUACCGAACACGUUUUCUAUGAAGAUCAUUUUACGGGUUUUGAGGAGGACGAAGACGACGAUUUGUAAAUUUCAUUGUAUCUAAUACUUGACUACGUAUUUUAAUGUAUGUGGUAAUAUAUUUUUUUUCUAUUAAGAUUAAGUAGAUUAAAUUAUUAAAAGUGCUAUGUUAUUAAGGGUUGAAAUAUUAUGAAAUAGUAUCCCACAACAUAAAACAAUCCUUAUUUAACUAAUCCAAACCAAAUUUUAUCCAUGUUAAGGUUUAAAAUGUUUUAUUUUUUACAAUUAGGGGUAGUUAUCACCCUUUAAAAAAGCUUACAGCUCAAUAUUGAAAAUGAACUAGAGUGUGAAAUGAGCCUAAUACCAACUUUUUGUACAAAUCGAUGCAAGACGAAAAACUUGCGAGAUUUUGCAUUUUUUUGAGUUUUAUUUCCAGGACUAUGAGGAAUUUUAUUCAACCUGUGGAAAUGCUGGCAAUAACUUUAGGAUGAGAUGUGCCUACCAGUAACAGUAAUCCCGAAAGUACCUUAUUUCUUUAUUGCUGACGCAGAUUUGGCUUACAUAAACAUUUGUUGGUACCAUACGCUUGUACCCAUUUGAUUGUUGAAAAUGCACUUUAAGAAUACCCACUAAUAAAUGGUGAGUUCUCCAACGUCCCAUGAAUGUACAACCAGAUUUCACUACAGGUAUUGUCAAGACCUGUAUAGUGCUUCAUAAUUAUGUCGGAGCUAGAGAUGGGUAGCAAUAUAAGAGGAGAAAGCCAACAAUGUGAGAAACAUUCUCUGCAGGUACUUCAUGCCAAGUGUUGGAAGCAUUCCCUGGCAAAUGCAAAGAAUCUGAGAGUUCAGAUUCAGAAAACCAGAAAACAUAAGCAUUAACCUUACAGAUGAUUGGCUUUUUAUUUAUAUGCUUUUAGAUGUUUCGGUUACUUUUGUUUAGUUGUUAAAACAAAUGAAUAAAUAAAUUUAAGAUCAA